RNAcentral lists this ribosomal RNA (513 nucleotides) under Termitomyces sp. symbiont of Protermes prorepens. RNAcentral's name for it is "eukaryotic LSU rRNA". It matches the Rfam family "Eukaryotic large subunit ribosomal RNA", at positions 71 to 583 of the family's 3401-position model. The record is from RNAcentral. Lineage: Eukaryota; Fungi; Basidiomycota; Agaricomycetes; Agaricales; Lyophyllaceae. RNAcentral also lists the same sequence under 1 other name.
AGGAUUCCCCUAGUAACUGCGAGUGAAGCGGGAAAAGCUCAAAUUUAAAAUCUGGUAGUCUUUGGCUGCCCGAGUUGUAAUCUAGAGAAGCAUUAUCUGCUCUGGACUGUGUAUAAGUAUCCUGGAAUGGAUCAUCAUAGAGGGUGAGAAUCCCGUCUUUGACACAGACUCCCAGUGCUUUGUGAUGUGCUCUCAAAGAGUCGAGUUGUUUGGGAAUGCAGCUCUAAAUGGGUGGUAAAUUCCAUCUAAAGCUAAAUAUUGGCGAGAGACCGAUAGCGAACAAGUACCGUGAGGGAAAGAUGAAAAGAACUUUGGAAAGAGAGUUAAACAGUACGUGAAAUUGCUGAAAGGGAAACGCUUGAAGUCAGUCGCGUUGGCUGGGGAUCAACCUUGCUUUUUGCUUGGCUUACUUCCCAGUUGACGGGUCAGCAUCAGUUUUGACCGGUGGAUAAAGGCUAGGGGAAUGUGGCACCUCCGGGUGUGUUAUAGCCCUUGGUCACAUACAUCGGUUGG